RNAcentral lists this ribosomal RNA (253 nucleotides) under uncultured bacterium. RNAcentral's name for it is "partial 16S ribosomal RNA". It matches the Rfam family "Bacterial small subunit ribosomal RNA", at positions 524 to 776 of the family's 1533-position model. The record is from RNAcentral.
UACGUAGGGGGCAAGCGUUGUCCGGAAUCAUUGGGCGUAAAGCGCGUGUAGGCGGUUUGGUAAGUCUGCUGUGAAAGUCCAGGGCUCAACCCUGGAAUGCCGGUGGAUACUGUCGAACUAGAGUCCGGAAGAGGCGAGUGGAAUUCCUGGUGUAGCGGUGAAAUGCGCAGAUAUCAGGAGGAACACCAAUGGCGAAGGCAGCUCGCUGGGACGGUACUGACGCUGAGACGCGAAAGCGUGGGGAGCAAACAGG